AAAGUUGGAGAAGCAACUGGCAGAAAUUCAUGAGAUAAAUUACAUUCUUGAUGCAUAUGUCUCUCUUGGGAGGUCUGAUGCUUUAAAUGGAAAAGUCACUAUUGCAUCAUCAGGAAGACCGGAUGCCAUUGCAAAGGCUCAGCCUGUGCUUUCUGGUAAUGCAUUGAGAUCUAUUUAGUUAUUAUAAUCGAACUUGACUUUUAUGUCUUAAAGAAAAGUGUAAUUCUUUUUAAUAUAUUUUUAUAUUAGCUAAUUGUCUCUCUCUUUUUGGACAGCAAUGUAUGAAAAGCUUUUCACUUUUGAGGGUGAAAUUGGUGGUGGCAGGUUAUUUCUUUCUUUGGUCUUGCCAAACCUACUUUAUAUAAUUAGAUACAAUUUUUCUGAUAAACUUAGAUAAUGGUCCUAAAUUGCUCUAAUAACAAAGCUAACUUCUGUUGUUAUAAUAUUAUCUGUCUCACUGCUUUUAGUGACUUUAGGGGCUUAUGUUUUUAGAUCUUUGAUACUUGUGUUUGAAAA
This is a non-coding RNA of Arachis ipaensis, 516 nucleotides long. Lineage: Eukaryota; Viridiplantae; Streptophyta; Magnoliopsida; Fabales; Fabaceae. The record is from RefSeq and is a predicted model, not a curated record.